RNAcentral lists this long non-coding RNA (624 nucleotides) under Numida meleagris (helmeted guineafowl). RNAcentral describes it as "lncRNA (ENSNMEG00000000582.1)". The record is from RNAcentral. Lineage: Eukaryota; Metazoa; Chordata; Aves; Galliformes; Numididae.
GCCACCAUGAGGUGCUGUGGCAUGGCUGGCCUCAGGCUGGGAGCAGAUACGUGGCACUGCCACGAUCAUGCUUGGAGGCUCUGGUCAGGAGACUGGCCCUCUCUGAGCUUCCUGUACACUGAGGUGAUAUUUCUUUCUCAAUGGAUGCCAGAAGGAAAAUAUAUUCAUGCUUGGAAGGGGUCUCAUGCUGCAUUUGAAUGGGAAGUGAUUAAUUCAACUAUUAAUUAAGUUAUUCAUUUGGAUGCUUUCCAGUGUGCCAAAGAAGUUUCAGUAGUAACUACAACAACAAAAAAGAUUUUUUAAUCUGGAUUUUUUACGGAGCUUUAGGAGGAAUUUUUUUUGAAGAACCUCCAACAGCAUGAGCAAGCAGCUAACAUUUGCCUUUCCAAUCAUGUACUUUCGGAGAGUACAAGGAGACGAUGAGACAGGACAGGAAGGAGAGGACCUGGAGGAAAGCCUAGAACAAACACCGGAGGAGCAUGUACUAGAUAUUAUUCAGCAUCUUCUUAACAGAAGUCUUGACACCCAGAAUGACUCUGGCCAUACCUGUUACCAGAUAGUUCAGCUCAUGCCACCUUUGCUGUCUGGAAGACUAAUAGGUGUGAGGCUUUUGUUGGCACAGCG